Molecule: long non-coding RNA, 1903 nt
Filed under: Macaca fascicularis (crab-eating macaque)
Lineage: Eukaryota; Metazoa; Chordata; Mammalia; Primates; Cercopithecidae
Description: lncRNA (ENSMFAG00000056526.1)
Source: RNAcentral
UGGUCUUAAAACUUGAACCUUUUAUUUGUUUUAUCUGCAUUCCUUCUUCAGGAAGCAAUCAUCAGGCCUCUCAAAAAACUAUCAGGCCAGGGACGGUGGCUCAUGCCUGUAAUCCCAGCACUUUGGGAGGCCGAGGUGGGCGGAUCACGAGGUCAGGAAUUCGAGACCAGCCUGACCAACGUGGUGAAACCCCAUCUCUACUAAAAAUACAAAAAUUAACUGGGCGUGGUGGUGUGCGCCUGUAAUCCCAGCUACUCAGGAGGUUGAGGCAGGAGAAUUGCUUGAACCCAGGAGGUGGAGGUUGCAGGAGCCAAGAUCACGCCACUGCACUCCAGCCUGAGCAAUAGAGCAAGACUCCAUCUCAAAAAACAAAAAACAAAAAAACUAUCAAAGAACUGAAAUUCAGCCAGGCGCAGUAGCUCAUAUCUGUAAUCCUAGCACUUUGGGAGGCUGAGGCAGGAGGAUCACUUGAGGUCAGGAAUUUGAAACCAGCCUGGCCUACACGGUGAAACCCUGUCUCUACUAAAAAUACAAAAAAAUGGCCAGGCGCGGCGGCUCACGCCUGUAAUCCCAGUAUGUCCGGAACUGUGCCUUCCAGUGGGUUCUUGGUCUUGCUGACUUCAAGAAUGAAGCUGCGGACCCUCGCGGUGAGUGUUACAGUUCUUAAAGAUGGUGUGUCCGGAGUUUGUUCCUUCAGAUGUUCAGACUUGUCCAGAGUUUCUUCCUCCCAGUGGGUUUAUGGUUUGUCUCCCUGACUUCAGGAGUGAAGCUGCCAACCUUCGCAGGGAGUGUUACAGCUCUCAAAGGUGAGUGUUACAGCUCUCAAACGUGGCGCACGUCCAGAGUUGUUCAUUCCUCCCAGCGGGUUCGUGGUCUCGCUGGCUUCAGAGGUGAAGCUGCAGACCUUCCUGGUGACUGUUACAGCUCAUAAAGGUAGUAUGGACCCUAAGAGUGAGCAGCAGCAAGAUUUAUUGCAAACAGCAAAAGAACAAAGCUCCCACAAUAGGGAAGGGGACCCUGGCGGGUUUCCGCUGCUCCCUCGGUGGCCUGCUUUUAUUCCCUUUUCGGCCCCACCCACAUCCUGCUGAUUGGUCCAUUUUAUAGAGUGCGUUUAAAAUCCUUUAGUUAGACACAGAGUGCUGAUUGGUGCAUUUACAAUCCUUUAGUUAGACACAAGAGUUCUCCAAGUCCCCACCUGAUUAGCUAGACACAGAGCACUGACUGGUGCAGCCUUUACAAACCUAGACACAGAGUGCUGAUUGGUGCAUUUACAAUCCUUCAGCUGGACAGAAAAGUUCUCCAAGUCCCCUACCCCAUUAGCCAGACACAGAGCACUGAUUGGUGCAUUUACAAACCUUUAGCUAGACACAGAGCGCUGACUGGCGCAUUUACAAUCCUUUAGCUAGACAGAAAAUUCUCCAAGUCCCCAAAUGACCCAGAAGCCCAGCCGGCUUCACCUUUCACCAGCACUUUGGGAGGCCAAGGCGGGCAGAUCACAAGGUCAAGAGUUCAAGACCAGCCUGGCCAAGAUGGUGAAACCCCGUCUCUACUAAAAAUACCAAAAAAUUAGCUGGGCGUGGUGGUGGGCGCCUGUAAUCCCAGCUACCCAGGAGGCUGAGAAGGAGAAUUGCUUGAACCCAGGAGGCAAAAGUUGCAGAGAGCCAAGAUGGCGCCACUGCACUCCAGCCUGGGCGACAAAGCAAGACUCUGUCUCAAAAAAAUAAAAUAAAAUAAAUAAAAAUACAAAAAAAACAGGCAUGGUGGUUUGUGCCUGUAAUCCCUGCUACUCGGGAGGCUGAGGCAGGAGAACCGCUUGAACCCAGGAGGCAGCGGUUACAGUGAACUGUGAACUGAGAUGGCACCACUGCACUCCAGCCUGGGUGACAGAGCAAGACUCUGUCUC